UGAGGAACAUGACCUUCGGCGGGGGAUAGCCGGCCCAACGGCCGGGUAAUACCGCGUACGACCACUUUGGGACAUCCCUCGGUGGUGAAAGCAGCAAUGCGCCGAUGGAGUGCCUCGCGGCCUAUCAGCUAGUUGGUGAGGUAACGGCUCACCAAGGCGACGACGGGUAGCCGGCCUGAGAGGGCGACCGGCCACACUGGGACUGAGACACGGCCCAAACUCCUACGGGAGGCAG
Molecule: ribosomal RNA, 235 nt
Filed under: uncultured bacterium
Lineage: Bacteria
Description: partial 16S ribosomal RNA
Rfam family: Bacterial small subunit ribosomal RNA
Source: RNAcentral